This 250-nucleotide ribosomal RNA is filed under the name uncultured Pseudomonas sp. RNAcentral describes it as "partial 16S ribosomal RNA". It matches the Rfam family "Bacterial small subunit ribosomal RNA", at positions 103 to 354 of the family's 1533-position model. The record is from RNAcentral. Lineage: Bacteria; Pseudomonadati; Pseudomonadota; Gammaproteobacteria; Pseudomonadales; Pseudomonadaceae.
CGGGUGAGUAAUGCCUAGGAAUCUGCCUGGUAGUGGGGGACAACGUCUCGAAAGGAACGCUAAUACCGCAUACGUCCUACGGGAGAAAGCAGGGGACCUUCGGGCCUUGCGCUAUCAGAUGAGCCUAGGUCGGAUUAGCUAGUUGGUGAGGUAAUGGCUCACCAAGGCGACGAUCCGUAACUGGUCUGAGAGGAUGAUCAGUCACACUGGAACUGAGACACGGUCCAGACUCCUACGGGAGGCAGCAGGC